Long non-coding RNA from Vitis riparia (riverbank grape), 680 nucleotides. RefSeq lists it as uncharacterized. The record is from RefSeq and is a predicted model, not a curated record. The transcript has 3 exons. Lineage: Eukaryota; Viridiplantae; Streptophyta; Magnoliopsida; Vitales; Vitaceae.
UCUCCAUAAAUCUUUUCUCCCACUCUUUGAAUUUCAAAAUAUACAAAUUCUCCCUUUCAUGGUGAAGAACUCUCCUAUUUGCUCAUUUCCUGGACCGCAUCUUUUAUUCAAAUGGGAACAGGGCAUUGUGAAAGGAAUCUCUCAACUUCUUACAACAUUGCGAUUGCUACUUUACUGAAAACUCAGCCUGUGUCAACUGAAAUGCAGAAUCCAAUGAUUAUCCAAUCCAGAUCCCAUCCUAAGAAUUCAGGUGUAUUCUUUGUUAAUGGGGUACCCCAGUUCAAUAAGUCGGAGUGAAGAUGAAAUUCUCAUUGAUUGCAGCUAACCAAACAGAGGGACAAAAUCAUUGAAGAAUGAAACUGGUUCCUGCCAACCUGGUGCUCUCUCGAACAAGGGUUUUCAAGUCAUUCAUCCCGUCCUUGUUGCAUCCAAGAAAACCAUCCGGUAAGUAUUAUCAUCGAUAACAUCAGCAACCUUUUUAGUAACAUCAGCCGGCUGAGGUUGCGGAGAGGAAGAUUUCCCAGCAUGUGGAGGCUACCAAUAAUUGGAAACUCCUGGGGACUGGGGUGGUAGUUUCCGGUGGCUUGCUCAUAGUUGUUGGCUCCAAGAAUGACUCGGAGAAAAGUAAUGGUGAAAAGAUGGGAAGGGAAGGGUUUGUGGGAUGUUCGUUCAAGAAUCAA